Molecule: long non-coding RNA, 334 nt
Organism: Fukomys damarensis (Damara mole-rat)
Lineage: Eukaryota; Metazoa; Chordata; Mammalia; Rodentia; Bathyergidae
Exons: 3
Source: RefSeq, a predicted model, not a curated record
GCCUGCUCUGCUCCCCAGUGUGUGAUAACCGACAGGGCCCCGUCCAGACCUGCUACUUCCACUUUUCUCCCACCUGUUUCUUUGGAAAAGCUCAUGAUUUCGUGUGAUGAAUGUGACACCAUGAAUGCGCUGCUGGGGGCUACAACAAAGCUUGGAGAAAGUCAGUUUUACAGAGAGGACUGGCAAAGAAACCAUGGAUAAGAGGAACUGCGAUAUUGUCUGGCAAAGUCAUCGACUAUGUCAACAUCUCCACUGGGAAAGAGGUAACUGGGAAAAGGGUAUAUUUGAAGACGGGGUUUAAGUAAAAGAUGAAGAGGGAGGACUGUGAGACUCC